Molecule: ribosomal RNA, 450 nt
Filed under: uncultured bacterium
Lineage: Bacteria
Description: bacterial SSU rRNA
Rfam family: Bacterial small subunit ribosomal RNA
Source: RNAcentral
GAUGAACGCUGGCGGCGUGCCUAACACAUGCAAGUCGAGCGAUCUUCUUCGGAAGAGAGCGGCGGACGGGUGAGUAACGCGUGGGUAACCUGCCUCAUACACAUGGAUAACAUACCGAAAGGUAUGCUAAUACAAGAUGAUAUAAGAGAAUCGCAUGGAUUUCUUAUCAAAGCUCCGGCGGUAUGAGAUGGACCCGCGUCUGAUUAGCUAGUUGGUAAGGUAAUGGCUUACCAAGGCGACGAUCAGUAGCCGACCUGAGAGGGUGAUCGGCCACAUUGGAACUGAGACACGGUCCAAACUCCUACGGGAGGCAGCAGUGGGGAAUAUUGCACAAUGGGCGAAAGCCUGAUGCAGCAACGCCGCGUGAGCGAUGAAGGCCUUCGGUCGUAAAGCUCUGUCCUCAGGAAGAUAAUGACGGUACUUGAGGAGGAAGACCCGGCUAACUACGUG